This 107-nucleotide small RNA is filed under the name Marmota monax (woodchuck). The record is from RNAcentral. Lineage: Eukaryota; Metazoa; Chordata; Mammalia; Rodentia; Sciuridae.
GCCGGGCGUAGUGGUGCACGUCUGUGAUCCUAGCGACUCGGGAGGCUGAAGCAGGAGGAUUGUGUGUUCAAAGGCAGCCUCAGCAACUCAGCAAGACCCUGUCUCUA